UGGGGGAUCGUCUAGUGGUAGGACACGUGGCUCUGGACCACGUAGCGGGGGUUCGAAUCCUCCUCCCCCAGCCA
This 74-nucleotide transfer RNA is filed under the name Candidatus Rokuibacteriota bacterium. Its description in RNAcentral is "Candidatus Rokubacteria bacterium tRNA-Gln". It matches the Rfam family "tRNA". From Rfam's summary of the family: Transfer RNA (tRNA) molecules are approximately 80 nucleotides in length. Their secondary structure includes four short double-helical elements and three loops (D, anti-codon, and T loops). Further hydrogen bonds mediate the characteristic L-shaped molecular structure. tRNAs have two regions of fundamental functional importance: the anti-codon, which is responsible for specific mRNA codon recognition, and the 3' end, to which the tRNAs corresponding amino acid is attached (by aminoacyl-tRNA synthetases). tRNAs cope with the degeneracy of the genetic code in two manners: having more than one tRNA (with a specific anti-codon) for a particular amino acid; and 'wobble' base-pairing, i.e. permitting non-standard base-pairing at the 3rd anti-codon position. The record is from RNAcentral. Lineage: Bacteria; Candidatus Rokuibacteriota. RNAcentral also lists the same sequence under 2 other names.